Eimeria praecox is the source of this 73-nucleotide non-coding RNA. NCBI's taxonomy places the organism in Eukaryota, Apicomplexa, Conoidasida, Eucoccidiorida, Eimeriidae. The record is from Rfam.
GGGGAUAUAAUGACAAUGGUAGAAUAGUUCUUUUGCAAAGAAAAAGUUAGCGGUUCGAUUCCGCUUAUCUCCA